Molecule: small nucleolar RNA, 132 nt
Organism: Humulus lupulus (European hop)
Lineage: Eukaryota; Viridiplantae; Streptophyta; Magnoliopsida; Rosales; Cannabaceae
Product: small nucleolar RNA U19
Exons: 1
Source: RefSeq, a predicted model, not a curated record
AUCUGGCUUAGUUAGGGGGCAUAGAUAAAUUGAACAAAAAAGAGACCGUACUGGUCUGUUUUUUUUGGCUGAGGCAUUUUGAGGAGACUUGCAAAUUUCCUUUGCUGGUCUCUCAAGCAUCCUUGGACAUUU